GCCCAGGUAGCUCAGUUGGUUGAGCAUCCGACUCUUGAUUUCAGCUCAGGUAAUGAUCCCGAGGUCAUGGGAUCAAGCCCCAUGUUGGGCU
This 91-nucleotide transfer RNA is filed under the name Felis catus (domestic cat). It matches the Rfam family "tRNA". From Rfam's summary of the family: Transfer RNA (tRNA) molecules are approximately 80 nucleotides in length. Their secondary structure includes four short double-helical elements and three loops (D, anti-codon, and T loops). Further hydrogen bonds mediate the characteristic L-shaped molecular structure. tRNAs have two regions of fundamental functional importance: the anti-codon, which is responsible for specific mRNA codon recognition, and the 3' end, to which the tRNAs corresponding amino acid is attached (by aminoacyl-tRNA synthetases). tRNAs cope with the degeneracy of the genetic code in two manners: having more than one tRNA (with a specific anti-codon) for a particular amino acid; and 'wobble' base-pairing, i.e. permitting non-standard base-pairing at the 3rd anti-codon position. Lineage: Eukaryota; Metazoa; Chordata; Mammalia; Carnivora; Felidae. The record is from Rfam by way of RNAcentral.